Molecule: ribosomal RNA, 250 nt
Filed under: uncultured prokaryote
Description: partial 16S rRNA
Rfam family: Bacterial small subunit ribosomal RNA
Source: RNAcentral
ACGGAGGAUGCAAGCGUUAUCCGGAUUCAUUGGGUUUAAAGGGUGCGCAGGCGGAAUGAUAAGUCAGUGGUGAAAUCCUACGGCUCAACUGUAGAACUGCCAUUGAUACUGUCGUCCUUGAGUACACUUGGAGUGGGCGGAAUGUGUCAUUUGGGGUGAAAAUCUUAGGUUUUGCCACGGAAACCGGAUGCGAAGGGCACCUACUUAAAUUUUAUUGGCCGUUCAGCAGGGAAGCGUGGGGAUCAAACAG